This 125-nucleotide small RNA is filed under the name Marmota monax (woodchuck). Lineage: Eukaryota; Metazoa; Chordata; Mammalia; Rodentia; Sciuridae. The record is from RNAcentral.
GCCAGGCAUGGUGGCUCACACCUGUAAUCCCAGCUGCUCAGGAGGCUGAGGCAGGAGGAUGGUGAGUUCAAAGCCAGCCUCAGCAACAGUGAGGUGCUAAGCAACUCAGUGAGACCCUGUCUCUA